AUUUUUCUAGUUGCAGCCUAGUCUUUUAGGCUGGUGGCUGGUGACUAAAUAGUCACCAGCCU
Molecule: small RNA, 62 nt
Filed under: Serratia sp. DD3
Lineage: Bacteria; Pseudomonadati; Pseudomonadota; Gammaproteobacteria; Enterobacterales; Yersiniaceae
Description: Pseudomonas sRNA P26
Rfam family: Pseudomonas sRNA P26
About the family: P26 is conserved across many Gammaproteobacteria species and appears to be consistently located between the DNA directed RNA polymerase (beta subunit) and 50S ribosomal protein L7/L12 genes.
Source: Rfam by way of RNAcentral